This is a non-coding RNA of Peromyscus maniculatus bairdii (prairie deer mouse), 157 nucleotides long. NCBI's taxonomy places the organism in Eukaryota, Metazoa, Chordata, Mammalia, Rodentia, Cricetidae. The record is from RefSeq and is a predicted model, not a curated record.
CAAAAAAAAAGAAAAAGAACUAUGUAAUAAAAACAUCAUAAAUGCCAUAUUCUGCAGCUCUCUGAAGUGUUUAAAGAUGACCUGUCUAUCUAAAAUAUAUCUCUGUUUGAUCUUGAAAGCAUACUUAAUAUGACUGUAAGUUUACUUAAAAUUGGUG